AGCUAAGGAAAUGGAGGACAUGUCCAUGUGGUUAGAAUCGAUUGCAAAGCAAAGGCUACACUCAUCAUCACAAUAGCGUUUCAACAAUGUCUUCUUUUGACGUCGCAGCAAGUUGAAGUGACAUAAAAGAGACCUGAUUUACUCGGUAACUUGCAAGACUGAGGAAGACAGGGAAGGGGGAGAGACACACGAUAACAAGAAGAGGUAUAUUGAAAAAUAUAUCAAGAGUUUAGCUAACUUGUACUAGAGAACUGGAUAAAGAAAACAUUUAAACCAACGGUACUGUCCUGUUAUAUGAACUUUGCUCCACAUUUGGCACCGACCCCUCAUCAGUCUCAUUCUCUCCAGACAUCUCCUCUAAGGAUUUUCCAUUUGAUUCAGGGACCAAGAAAGUAAACAAUAUGCCGAAGAAGUUGACGACACCGAGGACAAGGAGUGAAUUCUUCACACCGAUACCUGCAGGGUACCCUGCAUCGGCCUUGGCCUUGUCCUGGUUCUGUGCCAAAUAUAAGAACCCGAAUGCACCCACAAUUGCUCCGAGCUUCCCAGAAGCUGCUGAUAUACCGUGGCAAGUGGACCUUAACCUCGCAGGGAAAAUCUCGGCUGGUACAACAAAUGUGGUGGCAUUAGGUCCAAAGUUUGCAAAGAAGAAGGUCAAUGAGUAGAUAACCACGAAUCCAAUUCGGUUGUCCUUCUGGGUCCAGUGGUUGUAAGGAAUGGCCAGCGCAAACAUGAACACUGUCAUGAAGAAGAAACCCAUCAAUUGGAUUGCAAACCGUCCUAUUCUGUCGAUAAAAGCCACUGUGAACCAGUAGCCUGGGACAGUACUGCAUAGAGCGAUUAGUGUUUGCGCCCUCGCAAUUCUAUAAACCUCAUCGAUGGCAUUCAUGGUCUGUGCUUUGGGAAUCCAUCCGAUCGCGCUAAAUAUAUCCUUUUGGAAAAGAUUUUGGCUGUAGAAUGCAAUGUCAAGCAAGAACCACGUGGUAGUUGUUCCAAGCAAAUGGAGUCCAUGGCGAUGAAGGAACUUUUUUGUGAACAGACCAAAUUGAUUGGACUUGUCCUCGGUCAGUUGCUCGACCUUCUGCUCUUCCGCCUCAAGAUCCACCUGCAGAACUCUUGACAUAUCAGUGGCAGCCUGUUUUGCAUUCUUGGCGACAAGCGCAGUGUAACGGGCAGUUUCAGGCAUCUUCAUCCUCCAGUAGUAGGUAAGUGCAGCGGGAAGAGCUCCAGCCAUUACAAUUAUACGCCAAAUGUAGUCAGCUUGUGGGACAGUUGAGGCAACAGCAUUAACCUCGUAAGAUGGAGCAUCAAACCUGGCCUUAAAUGCAGAUGAUACAAUUAUAGCAAAUAUGCCACCAGCCAAAAUUCCAAAACCUUGCAUCGCAAAUACUGCAGCAAUGAAGGCACCACGAGUCUUCUUGUUAGCAUAUUCAGACAUGAUGGUGGCAGAGUGGAUAGUCACCACCAAUACCGAACCCGAGCCAGAAACGAAAGAAGCAAAGGGUCGACAUGACAGCCUUAGCAUCAUGGCUAAAGAAAGACCCGAGGCAACCGAACAUAUGACCAUGAGCAUAAGAGUCAUACCAUACACUUUCUUCCUCCCCAUCUUGUCACCAAGCCAGCCAAAGAAGAGCUGCCCCGACAGAGUUCCGCAGAACGCCACACCAUUAACAGCAGCCGCUACAUUGGGAGGCAAACUACCAGGCUUCGCUGCUCCAUCGACAUGGUAAUAUAUGCGGCCAAGCAAUUUGGUGACAAGGGAUAUGCAGAAGAGAUCAUAGGCAUCGGUGAAGAAUCCCAUGCCAGCAAUAAUAAUUGCAGUGAAGUGAUACCAUUGUGUUUUUGCCACAUCAAGCGCAUUGAGAACCUGUAAUUCCUUGGCCAUGACCCCUAGCUUAUCUAGGAAAACGCCUUUCCUUGCUCUCUCUUUUCUCUGCAAAAAUUGAAACCGGAUUAAAAACCAUGCAAUAUCACAAGGAUCCUUAGAUGAUAAUCGAAAAUUUAAAUGAGUUUGCUAAAGAGCCGGUGAUAAUUGAAAUUCCAAAUGGCGUCACCAAUAAAAACAGAACACAGAAAAACAAACAAACAAAGAAAGCCAUUCUCACUCUUCACGUUACUUGGGGACGGUAGGACUAAUUCUCAAGGCAGCAAUAAAAUACGUAGAUUCUAAUUUUGCUAAAUACAAGUAUUGGAUUCUUUCACACAAUUUUUUAUACAAUGAAGAAAACAGCAUAUACAAAGAUUUUUCGGAAGAAGUAUCCUGUUAGUCAAUGGUAGGUCCAACAUCUACUCUAUUUCUAAUCACCUCACUUAAUUUAUCUUUCUGGAGAGCAAGGAGCAGUGUAUGAGACAAGUGAAAGAAAGUAAAAGACACAAGUAGAGACAAAAGAGCAGUUCCUCUAUUUCACACAGAUCUUUGUGGUGGUAACUAUGAAACAUACAAAUAAAUAAAUAGCCCAUUAAUCUUCUAGAAAGUAAAAACUUCCAUGACGAUAGGAAAUUUAAAUUAAAAGACAAGGAGAACUCAUAGUAGCUAAUAAGAAAUCUCUGCAAGAAAAUCUAAAUUUAAAGAGAGAAAAAAUAAGAGCAGGGGUAGAAAAGAAACACCUCUACUAUUUGAUAAAUCGAAAGUACUGUUAACCAAAAUUAUCAAGCUACACAAGUGGAUUCAGGCAGGAUGGAUGGACAAGAAGUAUUAUUAUGUUUUUUCAACAAAACAAGAACAUGGGAGAGAGUUUCCUUAAUUACUCUACGUAGAGUUUUAAAUAGUAAUAUCAAAUAAUUAAAAGCUUUGAUUCUCACAAGAACAUUUAUUUAAAGUGAUGCUUAGCUUUUCCAAGUGAUGGGGUGAGAUCCUAGAAUCAGACUAGUAAUAAUAAAUUAAUUAAGAAGAUCAACCGGCGAUUAUGGCAGCAUUUGUGGACCAAAAAAAUCAAAACUGAAUCACAAUUUGCAGCAAGGAAGUUGAAAUAUAGAUCCAGACUGGUCUCAACUGGCAAUACUUGAUAUGAGAUUUGAACCUAAAUCGUUUCUUAAUUAACAUUUGUCAGAAAAAAAAAAUAUGUAUAUGGAGAAAGCGAAAAAACCACGAGUAUAACAAAAUUUGUAUAUUUUCGUUUUUUUGCCUCCCUCUUUUGCACUCAUGAGAGAAACUCAAGAAAUGACAAGAAGACAAGGCGAGAGAACCCCAUAAAAGAGAGAGCUUUAAUUUGCACACAAACCUUCCUGCCUUCAAGAACUUGCUGUACUCUUUCUCGAGAGAGUGAGGAGGGGACAAAAAGGAGGGAAAUAAAAAGGUGGAAAAAGAAAUUGAUGAAGAAGAAUGCUGUGGUUCAAGUAAGAGGGUGUUUCUUGGAUAUAUAUACAAGUAAUAAAGCGGCAAAGGGAUGGAAAUAUACCUCUCUGCCCUCUUCCCUCGGUCAGCAACCCACACGCUUUUCCAUUUCCCUUGCCGUUUUAUCUACUUCGACACUUGCAGUAAUAACUUCGCCUAAAAAAUCUUAUAUUAUUUAUUUUAUUGGAAGUUGUCAGUGUUCUGGCCAAUUGGAUCGAAGUAAAGGCUUUCUUUCCUUAUGCCAAGCUAUCAGUUAAAUUAAUUUACUAAAUUAUGUAAACGUAAGAUGAUCGACGGCUUGUCUUGGAGUCAGCUGGAACAGUCACCAUGAACCGUGGUCCAUAGCCAUGAAUGCUCUUUCUCCAAGCCUGCACCAGUCAAAGAGUUGUCCUUUCUAACAGUUCUAGCGAGCGUGGGAGGGGGUGAGAAGGAAACUCUAGUUUUUGUUCCACGUAGUCGUCGGUCAACAUUUUGGACAUUAAUUUGAGUUAAAAAGUGGUCUGAAUUUCGUGGAUGGAGGCAUAGUUAUUAAGCCCGAUCCGGGGUUGACCCGGCAAGGGACCGGGUCUCGGGUUUCAUGGGUCAACCCGGGUUGACCCAUAAUAAUUUAAAAAAAAAUUAAUAUUUCAUAUGAAAAAAUUCAUGUAAAUAUAGAUUAUACAUAUAAAUAAUGAAGUUUAAAAUAAUAUUUUAAAAAGUUUUUUAUCCCAUAUUAAAAAGAUAUUAUGUUAAGCUUUUAAGUUGAAGUAUUUAAAUUAAAAAAGUUUUUUAUUCUACAUUGGAAAAACAUAACUUUUUUCAUGGGAACAUAGAGUAUAUAUAUGAAAGGGCUUCAAAUCCCACAUUGAAAAUAUAUUAUGUUAUCCCUUUAAGUUGAAGUAUUUAAACCAAAAGGUUUUUUAUCCCACAUUGAAAAAACAUGAUUUUUUCCUUGAGAACAUAGAGUAUAUAUACUAAUGGGUUUCAAAUCCACAUUGAAAAAAUAUAACUUUUUUCAUUGGAACAUAGAGUAUAUAUAUGAAAGGGCUUCAAAUCCACAUUGAAAAGAUACUAUGUUAUCCCUUUAAGUUGAAGUAUUUAAACCAAAAGGUUUUUUAUCCACAUUGAAAAAACAUGAUUUUUUUCUUGGGAACAUAGAGUAUAUAUACUAAUGGUUUCAAAUCCCACAUUGAAAAAACAUAACUUUUUUAUGGAAACAUAGAGUAUAUAUAUAAAAGGCUUCAAAUCCCACAUUGAAAAGAUACUAUGUUAUCCCUUUAAGUUGAAGUAUUUAAACCAAAAGGUUUUUUAUCCCACAUUGAAAAAACAUGAUUUUUUCCUUGGAAACAUAGAGUAUAUAUACUAAUGGGUUUCAAAUCCCACAUUGAAAAAAUAUAAUUUUUUUCAUGUGAACAUAGAGUAUAUAUAUGAAAGGGCUUCAAACCCCACAUUGAAAAGAUAUUAUGUUAUCAUUUUAAGUUGAAAUAUUUAAACAAAAUUUUUUUUUAUCCUACAUUUAAAAAAAAAAAAAAACCCGGGUCUCGUCCGGGUUUGCCCGGGUCACCCGGGUCCCAGGUCGACCCACCGGGUCGCCCGGGUUUGGCCGGGCUGUUGCCACAGCCGGUCUUUUAUUAAACCCGAACCGGUCCAGCCACCGGGUAGACCGCCGGGCCGGGCCGGGUUUAAUAACUAUGGAUGGAGGGAUGCGUUUUGAUCGAUUGUCAUGCUUCGUAGCAGUUUCUGUAAGGACAAACAUGUAGGAAUGGGCCACCCUCCCUAAAGUCUACAAGAGGGCCACCCUGUACUGUAUACUAUUGUCGUUUGUGAUGUGACUGCCCUUAAUUUUAAGGCACUGAUUAUAUAUAAGAUAAUUUUAGUUUAAUUAUUUUGGUCUAACGAUUUGGUGUGUGUUUAUAUUAAAAAAAAAAAAAUUUAGUGAUUAUGAAAUUAAAAAUAUAAAAAACUAUUUUAAUUUAUUUUUAAAUAAAAAUACAUUUAAAAAGUAUUGUGCAUCAUGAUAGUCUUGUUAUUGUUCCACGUAGUCGUCGGUCAACAUUGACACUUGAGUUAAAAAGUGGUCUGAAUUUCGUGGAAGGAAGGGAUCGAUUGUUACACUUCUUAGCAGCCACUGUAAAGACAAACGAGUAGGAAGGGGCCACCCUCCCUAAAGUCUACAAGAGGGCCACCAUGACUAUAAACUAUGGUCGUUUGUGAUGUGACUGCCCUUAAUUUUAAGGCAAUGGUUAUACAUAUAAAAGAUAAUUUUAGUUUAAUUAUUCUGGUCGUUUGGGUUUGAAUUUUAAAAAUGUGUUUAUCUAAAAAAAUAAAAUUUUAUUGUCUUCUUCUAUGAUUUUAACAUGCUGAUAUUACAGUUAAAAAAAUAUAAAAACUAUUUUAAUUUAUAAAAAAAAUACAUUUAAAAAGUAUUAUACACCAUAAUAUUAAAACACAAUUCGAGCAAAUUUUUUUUUUCUUUACAAUGUUUGUUCUAUUGGGAUAUUAUAUGUAUUGGUCAUUGUGGUACAAAGUCCUUUUAAAAAUAUUUUUUACUUCAAAAUUUAUUAAAAUGAUUUUUAUUUAUUUUUUAUAUUAAUACAUUAAAAUCAUUAAAAUAUAUUAAAAAAUAUAUCAAUUUGAUAUUUUUUUAAGUGAAAUAUUUUUAAAACACAUCAAAAAAUAGAAAUUAUCACACUUUUAAACACUAAUAGCUCAUCAUGACCAAUUUAUUAUUCCAUGGAUGAGAAAGAGAAUCGGAUAUACAUGGAGGCUAUUUGGGGUUGAUGUGCAACCCUUUCAAGAUUUUUGAAUUUAUUUUAUUUAAAAUUGUAUUUUUUAUAGUGAUAUUAAAAAUAAUUUUUUUAAAUAUAUAUAUAUAUAUAUAUAAUUUUAAUAUAUUUUUAAAUAAAAAAUAUCAUAAAAAUAAUCUGCACCUAACUCAGCUGUAAACUCGUCACAAGUAUACCAUGUACAUGCAUGUAUCAAAAACCAGCUGAACAAUUUGGUCAAAAUACGUGUACUUUCUUGAUGAUAAAAUUAAUGGCUUUAUGGAAAUGAUGAUUGUUAGAAAGAUUUGAAGUCAUUGGUGAUAAACUCAAAGAAUAAGGAUGAUUAAAACUCUUCUGUUCAUUUAAUUUUGUUAUAUAAAAUAAAUAAAAUUUGAUCAAAGUCAUGGUAACUUGAACCCAAAAAUACUUAGAGGUGACCUCAGCCUUUCGUCGUCGGUAUCAAUUUUCCCCUUCUUCCUGGCAAUGUAUGAGUGUGAAUGUGACCUCCUUGUCUUGCAAAAUUUCUAUGCCCCGCCACCCGGCUUGCUGUCCAUUUGGGCAUCUUUCAUUUGUCAUCCACAGUUGACCUCUAUAGUCAACUCCAUCAUUUCGUGAUUAUUAGAAAACAAAAAUAUGUUAACGAGGGUGGGGGCAGAGCGAGUUGUGUUAACCUACGAAGAUGAGGAGAAAGGGUGAAUAAUACUUCUAUUUAUUUGAUGAAAUUUUUUGUUAGUAUUUAUAUUAUUAUCUUAUUAAUAAUUAAUUUAUUAAUUAAAUUACAUAAGAAAAUAUUUUGUUAGUGAAUAAUUCAUCAGUAAUUUUUUAUUUAUUGAUAAUUAAAAAAUAUUAUUAUCGAUGAAUUUACUGACAAGAAAAUCACAUAAAAAAUAAAAUUAUUCACUUUAUUCCAUUCGUAUUUCACUCAGAAGAUUGUCAUAGAACAAAAAAAAAAAUAACAUAUGCAAUUUUGUCGUUGAUUAUUUAAAAAUAUAUAUUUAAAAAAAAUCUAUUUAACAAAAAAAGAAAAUAAUUAAAUUAAUAUAAAUUAACACUUCAUAAUGCUCAGAAUUGAAUUGCUUGGAAAAAAGAGAGAAGAAAAUCAACUCAAACAAAUUUGCAACACAUAAAUAACACAAAAAAAAUAAAACAACAACAACAUUGAUCUUAUAUGAAAAAACAUCCUACAACAAAUAUUCAUACAAUUAUUAAGAACAAAUUUUUUUAAAAAAAAAAUAUAAUAAAAAAAACACAUAAAAAAAAAUCUUAACUUAAUAUAGUUGCGAGUGAAGUUGAGAAGAAAAAAAAAUUAAUUAAGUAUGUUAAUUAAAAAAACUGAGAAGAGAAAAGAAAAAAAAAAGAGAAGAAAACAUACUUAAGAGUGAAGGAGAAGAGGAGUUAAGGAGAGAAGGGAAGGGAAGAGAAAGAAAAAAAGAAAUGUUGAUGUUUUUAUAUAACAGCAAAAAGAAGAAGAAGAAAAGGAAGAAGAAGAAGAGGUCCAUCUGUUGUGAAAUGACGAAUUCUAUUUAUUGGGACAUUUUAUCUACGGUUUUAUCGAUAGAUAAUUAAAUAUUAAUAUUUCUAACCAUUUUAUCGGUGACUUUUUUUGUAAUAUUUAAUUUAAAUUUUCAAUGUAAUAAAAAAAUUCAGAGACCACUAAAUAUCAUCGAUAACUUUUCAAUCAAUUGGUGAUUCCAUCUGUAAUAUUUAAUUUACUCAAAAAAUUUUAGAAACCCACCAAAUAACAACGACGACUUUUUAAUUCGUUGGUGAUUUUGUCUAUAAAAAACAUUAAUUAACAUUGCAACUGGAAAGUGAUAUGGAAAAUAAUGACAGAAUGUUUCGUUGGUGAUUCCCUUUGUAAUUGAUAUGAUAAACAGUGUUAGGGAGAAGUGAACAAUUUACCAAUGAUUUUACCGACAUAAUUAAUUUUGUUGGUAUAAAUGACAUGUCAUCAUAUUUUUUGGCUUUAUUUUAAUUUUUUUUCCAUCAUAAUUUUUUCGGUAUAUACCAAGAAAAUAUUUUUAUCAGUAAAAUUCGCUGCAAUUUAUCAAUGAAAAUAUUUCGUUAAUAUUUCAAUUUGUAUUUAUUAAUUUUCUAGUAAUGAAAGUUGCUGUUAACACCUAAGUUACUGAGGAUUUGUAGCUCCGCUAGUAAUUUAUAACUCUUCGAUGCGUAAACCAUAAUAACCCGUUUGAUAUAUGUAGUCGUGAAAAUAUUAUAAGCAAAAAUAUUGCAUAAAAACUAAAACCACCAUUAGAAUAUUGAACCAUAUAUAUAAAACGGGAUGGAUUGAGGUGAAAUGUGAUAAAAGUAACUCAAUGUUUUAAAUUUUCUUUUUUCAUUGGCAAGUAUAGAGAUGAAGCAUGUUGUGAUAUAAUAGAUAUUGAUGCUUACAGUCUUAUAUUUGAUAGGUCUUGGGUAGAGAUAAUUUGUAUAAACUCAGUAAAGAUACUGCAAGUUUUUACUAUUGUGUUCUUGAUGAAAAAACCUCAACCCAAAGCUUUUAAAAUGAAGUAUUUCUUUAUUGUCAUCAAUUCAGAGCAUGAGAUAUUUAUUAGACAGUUAAGCCUUUACUUGGUGAAUUUGAAAUAAUGCAAAUUUUACUCUUGUGUGUUAAAAAAGAAAUCCCAACCAAAAGCUUCUAAAGAAGAGGAGAUGAUCUUCCUUUCUAUAACCAAUUAAGAACAUAAUAUGCUAAAAUGUAUACGAAAAACUAGACAUUUUUACAAAUUAAUUGUGAAAGCAUUGGUGGUUGAGAAGAGUUAGGUAGACAUUUUUCAGGCGAUUAAACUUGUUUUUGGUGAAUUUUAUGAGAUUCUAUAGAUUAAUUAAUAGGAGAGUUACCACUAAUGAGAGGUAUUCAACAUAAGAUAGAUUUGGUAUCAAGAGCUAACCUUCUAAAUCUACCAUAUUAUAGAAUAAAUUCUAAAAAGCGUGAGAUAUUAAAGGAUACAAUAAAUGAGUUGUUGAGAAAAAGCUUGACAAUUUGAUUCAAAGUAUUUACAUUGACAAGUCAAAAUAGUAGGAUGUUGCACUUGAAAAGUCAGAAUUCAUAUACAACAAUGUCGAACAUAAUACAAAACGUAAAACAUCAUUCAAAAUUAUGUAUCUGUAGUGUCCUAGGCAUGUACUUUAUCUUGUAUCAAUAUAGAAAGGUAUUGAAUAUAUGUAACUGUUAUAAAAAAGAUAAUUGUGAAUACACUAUGAUGUUUUGUAUUAAAGGGAUAGGAAAAGCCUAGAAAGCCCUUGAAGGCUUAGAUGUAGGAAUAAAUUAAAUAAGGGUAUAGUAGUAAUUGGAUAAAUAAUUGAUAAAUAUAAAUAGGAAGUAAAAAAAAAAAAAAAAGAAAGUGAUCUGAAAUUAGAGAGCAAAACCGUGAGAGAGAAGAGAGAAAGAAGAAGAAGAGAAAAGAAGGGAAAAUAAGGGAAAAAGGAAGAGUUUUGGAGGAAAUAAGUGAAAAAGGUAAGAUUUAGGUUGUUUAAUGUGUAUAAUAUGUUAAUUAAGCUUUAAUUUCAGUUUUUAUGAAUGUUAGGGUUUUGAGAAUUUGUGUUUGAUUUAAAUUGAUGAAUUAAAUUGAAGGUUAGGGGUUGAUUGUUGUGUUUAAUUGAUGAUUUAGUUGAUUAUGGAAGAUUAUGAUGAUUUUGAGUUAUAGAAUUGUGUAAAUGGUGAAAAUUGAGUUAGAAAUCAGGGGAGAACAGUGGGGUUUCUGUUAAAAUCUGGACUGGAGGUUGAAGAUGACGAAAAUUCAAUUUGGUCCCUCAAUUUCCGAAAAUUUCAGUUUAGUCCCCGAACUUUGGAAAAUUACAAAUUGGUCCCUGGAGCAUAUUCCGAGAUUCUGAACAGAAUAGAAUAUGAAUUAUGGACAGAAUUACUGUAUAGAUAAGAUAAUUUAACACUUUCAAUUUAGUCCUCCAAUUUGAUAAAAAGUACGAUUUGACCCUAAAAAUUUAGUAAAAUUCCAGAAUGAUCCCUGAAGCAUAAUGAUACAUCCUGGACAGAAUUGAGGAUUUAUUUAAGGUCAGAAUUUCAGUAUAUUCAUGGAUUUAUGACAAAUUUCAGUUUGGUCCUCCAUUUGACAAAAGUUACAUUUUGGCCCUAAAAAAUGGAAAAAUUCCAGAUUAGUCCCUAGCUGUAAGAUUAGCUUUUUCAGAUUAGUUUGAUGAAUAAUUAAGGGUUAUUUAGUGAAUUAUUACCAAUUUUAUUAGUUGUUUUUAUUAUGGAUUAGAUUUCGGGAAAACCGUUAGAUUUUGGGUUUUUAAGAAAAUUGACUAGUUAGUUCAAAAAUAUAUAGGGUUACGGAAUACACCCUUAGUUAAGUGUAUUAAAUAGGUUAAAUGUUCUUUCGAGUCGUUCUUGAAUAUGUCUCCUUUGUAUUCAGAUAAUCCUGAUAUUCUACCGGCAGGACGUCAGUAGAAUUUCCUUCGGUUUCAGCUUGUGUGUGCUGUUUGCUUUUGAGUCAAGUGAGUGGAUAAUUUUCCAUAUGCAUGAGAAAUAUUAUAAAUAUUUGAUUUGUUAAUAUGAAUUGGAUCAUGCUUCUUGAUAAUAUAUAUGCUGAUUAUUAUCCUUGAUAUGAUAAAGCAUGAUCAAUUAUUGAAUCUGAUUUCUUGAUAUGAACCAAUAUGAUUUGACUUCUGAAUUGAUAGCUCCUCAUUUGAUGGAUGUCAUGAGUUGAGCUUUGAGAUAUGAAUAUGUUUGUUUGAUUAUGAUUAUGAACCUAUGGUAUGUCAGUCAGAAUACCCAUGCUAACAGGGUAGUGUUAGUCUUUGUGCACAUCGUAUCUGAACCCUAGUUGGUCGGGGGAGUCACCAACCUGUGUGGACUGAUCAUCCCACAGUACGGAGCCUCAUGCUCAUUGCAUUUUGAUUUUCUGACAAGUUUUACCAUAUGAUAUUCUUGUUAUGGCCUAUUUUGAUAAACCUUCGUAUAAGAACUAAAGCCAUACUUGUAUAUAUAUUUCUCAUUGUUAUAUUACCUCGUAUGUGUAUAUUGAAUGUUAUCUACUCACUGAGUUGUUGAACUCACCCUCUCAUUAUUUAUCCUUUUCAGGCUUAUAGCUUGAUAGCAGGUUACUUUUGUUGAACCUUCCGAACCUGCCUUUUGGUUGUAAUUUGUACCUUCCUUUUGUGUCAAGUUAGUGCUCCAAAACUAUGAAAUUAUUAACUCUUGUAUUAAGACAAUCGAAUUAUAUUAUGAAGUUGUUUGUUGUUAAUACUGCGUUAAACUCUGAUUGAGUUGUUUAAAGGAUUGUAUGUAAGUUUGGGUUCGCAUAGGUUUGGAACCUUGGAGGGGAACCUUGCCUAUGUGCCGGUCAUGGAUCCGGGAUUCGGGUCGUGACAUACACGGACUAUACAUAUAAAGAUGAGAAACAAAUUGCAACAAAUCCAUGUCAAAUACAAGAAGAUUGUCAAUAAAAACCAUUAACUGUGCUUAAGUAUUUGAGGAAUGAGAUAUGUUGAUGAUUUACGCGGUAACUUGCAAGGCUGAGGAACACAGAGCAGGGGGGGAGACACUCGAUAACAAGCAGAGGUAUAUUGAAAAAUCUAUCAAGAGUUUAGCUAACAUGUAAUAGAGAACUGGAUAAAGAAAAAAUUUAAACCAACGGUGCUGUCCUGUUAUAUGAACUUUGCUCCACAUUUGGCACCGACCCCUCAUCAGUCU
RNAcentral lists this long non-coding RNA (11734 nucleotides) under Populus tremula. RNAcentral describes it as "long non-coding RNA (PTRE_LNC002291)". Lineage: Eukaryota; Viridiplantae; Streptophyta; Magnoliopsida; Malpighiales; Salicaceae. The record is from RNAcentral.